This 76-nucleotide transfer RNA is filed under the name Rhizobium leguminosarum. Its description in RNAcentral is "tRNA-His". It matches the Rfam family "tRNA". From Rfam's summary of the family: Transfer RNA (tRNA) molecules are approximately 80 nucleotides in length. Their secondary structure includes four short double-helical elements and three loops (D, anti-codon, and T loops). The record is from RNAcentral. Lineage: Bacteria; Pseudomonadati; Pseudomonadota; Alphaproteobacteria; Hyphomicrobiales; Rhizobiaceae. RNAcentral also lists the same sequence under 1 other name.
GCGCAUGUAGCUCAGCGGUAGUAGCGCCGGUUUGUGGAACUGGAGGUCGUGGGGUCACAACCCACCAUGCGCACCA